This 1060-nucleotide long non-coding RNA is filed under the name Anolis carolinensis (green anole). RNAcentral's name for it is "lncRNA (ENSACAG00000032506.2)". Lineage: Eukaryota; Metazoa; Chordata; Lepidosauria; Squamata; Anolidae. The record is from RNAcentral.
ACUCAAACAUUCAAGCCUAAAACUCAAGCUCAACUGUCUUCUAAUGUCUAACACUGGCAUCCGCACUCAAACACACUCAAGCCUCAACUGUCUUCUAACCCCUAACACUGGCUUCUGCACUCAAGCCUCAACUGUCUUCUAAUGUCUAACACUGGCAUCUGCACUCAAACAGAUCCAAGCCUCAACAGUCAUAUUUCAUAUUGAACAUUCUAAAGUCAAUGAACCAGUCACAUGGUCUGCAGCGCCCCCCCCCCCCCAAUGCUUCAAGUACAUAGAGCUAAGGAAACUGCAAACCAAAUAAGACAUACACUUCAGGACAUAAAACGACACAUUAAAUAGAGGAGGCUUGAGAAGGUUGCUAUCUCCAACAGGACCAAGGGUCAAAUCCUGGCUUUGGGGACCCCGGCCUUAGGGUUUCAAUGGCCCAUCUUUAACUCCUGCUCUUCUCCCCAGGACUACAUGAUCGCCUUGUCACUCCAACAGCAGCAAGGGGGCACUCCGCUGAGUGACCUGGAGUUGGCCCAGCAGUUGCAGCAAGAGGAAUACCAGCAGCAGCAGCCGGCCCCGGCCCCCGGGUCCCCCGCCCAGGCGAGGAGCCCACCACCGACCCGACCGGCCGGAGAGCGCAGGCAGCGCCAGAAGCAGGAUUCGGACUGCGUUCUCCUAUAACGCCGACCCUUCGAGGCGGCAUUUGGGGUUCCCGACCUCCCGAAUUGAUUGGGGAGAAGAAGACUUGGGGUCGCGCUCCACGCAAGGGCUGAAACCAAAACUCCUAUUUAUCGGUGUUUCUAAUUGUCUCCUCCCUCUGAUUUCCACUUAUUAUUAAUUAUUUUGGGAAGAGAAGACGCGCGGAGGGGAAAUAUAUCCCAUCCUCUCGGGUGCAAAACGGGACUAAACCAUAUCCCCGUUCCCAGGACUCGAGGGAGCUUUGAGUCCCAAAAAAAGAGUAACUAUUUCAAGCUCGACCUUUUUCCCUUUCUUUCCGACCACCGAAGCCUUCCCCUAGAAGAGCCGAGAUACGAAGUUUUGUGGCCUCUGCAAAGCUAUCUAGUCACGAGAA